RNAcentral lists this ribosomal RNA (468 nucleotides) under uncultured bacterium. Its description in RNAcentral is "partial 16S ribosomal RNA". It matches the Rfam family "Bacterial small subunit ribosomal RNA", at positions 28 to 507 of the family's 1533-position model. The record is from RNAcentral.
GACGAACGCUGGCGGCGUGCUUAACACAUGCAAGUCGAACGGAAAGGCCCUGCUUUUGUGGGGUGCUCGAGUGGCGAACGGGUGAGUAACACGUGAGUAACCUGCCCUUGACUUUGGGAUAACUUCAGGAAACUGGGGCUAAUACCGGAUAGGAGCUCCUGCUGCAUGGUGGGGGUUGGAAAGUUUCGGCGGUUGGGGAUGGACUCGCGGCUUAUCAGCUUGUUGGUGGGGUAGUGGCUUACCAAGGCUUUGACGGGUAGCCGGCCUGAGAGGGUGACCGGCCCAAAUUGGACUGGGGUACGGCCCCGACUCCUAAGGGAGGCAGCAGUGGGGAAUAUUGCACAAUGGGCGGAAGCCUGAUGCAGCAACGCCGCGUGCGGGAUGACGGCCUUCGGGUUGUAAACCGCUUUCGCCUGUGACGAAGCGUGAGUGACGGUAAUGGGUAAAGAAGCACCGGCUAACUACGUG